AGUGGAGCUAAAGCAAGAACCGCAAAAUACACUAUUGCUAGCCAAUUAUGCUCAAUUUCUUUUCUUGGUCGCCCAGGAUUAUGACAGAGCAGAAAAGUACUUCAAGAAAGCAGCAGAGGUGGAGCCAAAGGAUGCAGAGGCAUUGAAUAAGUAUGCAAAUUUUCUCUGGAAAGUAAGGAAGGACCUUUGGGCUGCAGAAGAGACCUUUAAUCAAGCUAUAGCUGCAGAACCAAACAAUAACUUUUAUGCAGCUAAUUAUGCUCAUUUUCUUUGGAAUACUGGUGGUGAAGAUACUUGUUACCCGCUCGACUCUUCCAAUACCGAUCUAUAAUCCCAAAACGGAGAAGAGAAUAAAGAUGAUUGAUGAUUAUUGUGGAAGAUGUAAGGACAAAAACAACAAGACGAGAUCGAAGAAAAAAUCUUAUUGGUUAAAGAGAUACAAUUGAGAAAAAUAUAAUAAAGGGAAAACAACAAGGGUGUCCAAGAUGAUUUUGGUUUUGCUACAUUUGAUCAACUGCUUCACUUGGACUUUCCCUUUUGUUUGUUAAUUGCUGGACUGUGGUGUCCAAGAUGAUUUUGGUUUUGCUACAUUUGAUCAACUGCUUCACUUGGACUUUCCCUUUUGUUUGUUAAUUGCUGGACUGUGGUGUCCUUGGAGACAAGGAGGAGCAAGGAGGGUGACUUGGGUUUGUUAAUUAACAAACCAUAUCCCUUUGGCCUUAUUUAAAUAAUAAUAUGAUACAGCUCCUCUUCAAAUGUGUAAAUUCAGCAAAGUCUUGGCUAUUUUAGAUCAG
Molecule: unclassified non-coding RNA, 794 nt
Filed under: Hevea brasiliensis (rubber tree)
Lineage: Eukaryota; Viridiplantae; Streptophyta; Magnoliopsida; Malpighiales; Euphorbiaceae
Source: RNAcentral